GUACAAAUUAAUUCGUACAAUUUUAAUGUCAUUUUCAUUCUCGCUGGACUAGCUCAAAGCCACGUCGAAAUAAUUAGAUAACAAAAUAAAAUAAUAAGAAACAAUUACCGAUGAUAUUCUAUACUUGAAAAGAAAACGAUCUAAUUCAUGCUUAUUAUAGUAGUAUUGACGUGAGUAGAGUUAUAAAAUUAAUAUUAGAAAAGUAUUAGGACAAACAUGAUUAAGAUUUAUGAGUAAAGGUGGCAAAGCUAAUAGAUUAGAUUAACCUGGUCAGUUCCAUUUUUAUAUCAUCAAUGGGUAACAAUGAGAUUUAUCAUGGAUGUUGAUGUUCAAAGAGUUUUUCCUGUAUUUUAGUUUGUAUACAGUUGUUUUGUAGUUUUAUUAUAGUUUUGCUACUUGCAUAUGUUAUUUCACUAUUGUAAUACCCUGGAAUUAAGGAAAUGGAUUAGCAAAGCCCUAACUAGUUAAUUGAGUAUUAUUGUAGAAUUAUAUUAUAUUAUAAUUUAUUAUAUGCGAAUUAAUAUGAGAAAUGACAUGUUAAGACCCCGUUGGUGAGUUAGGGGCAUUUUAGUAAUUUUGACCCGAGAAGGGUAAAACUGUGAAUUUAAUUUAUUUAUGUGCUUAUGAACUAUAUUAUUAUAUAGUAUAUCUGGUGUGUCCUUUUUCAGGUGUGUUCUGACAAGUUGGCGCGGUAUAGUCACAAUCGGGUAUUUCGGGCUAAACCGGGUUCGGGGCCGAAAUAUAAUUUUGGGAUAAAUUAUUGGCAUUUUAUUUAUGUGUGAAUAAUCUGAAAUUAUUUAAAUAUGUGUUAUAUAUGAAAUGAAUUCAAUGCCCUUGAUUGUUUGAGUAUGUGAGAAAUGGCCCUAGGGGCAAAAUGGUAAAUUGUAUUUUUGGAUUUAUUUUCAACUAAAGGCAUUAUUUGUAAAAAAAUGAAAUUCAUUUUCUGCAUUUACCUUAACCCUAAAACAGCCCCCUUCCCUCUCUCUCUCUAUCUCUCUUUGUAUUUGGUUGAAAAAUUGGUGAUUUGCUUGGUAUUCAAGCUUGAAAUUGAAGAAUUGUUUGAGGAGUUGUGGCUUGAUCAUUGCAUUGAAGCUUGAGGAUUACCGGCACUUGGUCAAGAGCACCCGGGGAUUUGGAAUCUCCAUAUUUGUGGGACAUCAGGAAAGGGUAAAUCUAUCUCUGAUCAGCCAUGAGUAUGGGAGUUGGGCGAUGUAUGUACAUGUUCGGGCCACACUAGACCAAGCGGGUUGGGGUCUACCUGCGUUGAAACUUUUGUAACUCUAUUUUUGCCGCUUAGGUCGGCUAAGGAGAAAAGACUUGUAAUAUUUUGUAAAAUGAUUUUUUUUUUUGGAUCCCGAAACAUGUAACUUUUGUUUGUAAGGUUAAAAUUAUUACAAGUUUAUUUUCA
Molecule: long non-coding RNA, 1408 nt
Organism: Cannabis sativa
Lineage: Eukaryota; Viridiplantae; Streptophyta; Magnoliopsida; Rosales; Cannabaceae
Exons: 3
Source: RefSeq, a predicted model, not a curated record